This 218-nucleotide small nucleolar RNA is filed under the name Eucalyptus grandis. Its description in RNAcentral is "Plant small nucleolar RNA U3". It matches the Rfam family "Plant small nucleolar RNA U3". Rfam says of the family: Small nucleolar RNAs (snoRNAs) are involved in the processing and modification of rRNA in the nucleolus. There are two main classes of snoRNAs: the box C/D class, and the box H/ACA class. Lineage: Eukaryota; Viridiplantae; Streptophyta; Magnoliopsida; Myrtales; Myrtaceae. The record is from Rfam by way of RNAcentral.
GCCAACAUACUUAUAUAGGAUAUGUUCUAUAGACUAGUACCUUUGUGUCCUUGAGACCUAAGGAGAUAGGAACUAAAGUCUGGGAGAUGAACCUUGGCCGUGUAACCAGAGUGUGAUUAACAGCUCUGGUUGGGUCCCUUUGAACCCCUCUGGGUCGUAGAGGAUCGUUCUCAAUCUGAGUCUCCAGCGGGGAUGGUCACACAACGAUCUGACAGACU